GACGAACGCUGGCGGCGUGCUUAACACAUGCAAGUCGUACGGUAAGGCCCUUUCGGGGGUACACGAGUGGCGAACGGGUGAGUAACACGUGAGUAACCUGCCCACAACUUUGGGAUAACGCUAGGAAACUGGUGCUAAUACUGGAUAUGUGCUCCUGCUGCAUGGUGGGGGUUGGAAAGCUCCGGCGGUUGUGGAUGGACUCGCGGCCUAUCAGCUUGUUGGUGGGGUAGUGGCCUACCAAGGCGGCGACGGGUAGCCGGGCUGAGAGGGUGACCGGCCACAUUGGGACCGAGAUACGGCCCAGGCUCCUACGGGAGGCAGCAGGGGGGAAUAUUGCACAAUGGGCGCAAGCCUGAUGCAGCAACGCCGCGGGCGGGAUGACGGCCUUCGGGUUGUAAACCGCUUUCAGCAGGGACGAAGCUUUUUGUGACGGUACCUGCAGAAGAAGCACCGGCUAACUACGUG
This 465-nucleotide ribosomal RNA is filed under the name uncultured bacterium. Its description in RNAcentral is "partial 16S ribosomal RNA". It matches the Rfam family "Bacterial small subunit ribosomal RNA", at positions 28 to 507 of the family's 1533-position model. The record is from RNAcentral.